GUACGACCACGCUGAGAUAGCAAUCACAUUCCAGCCCCCACGAAUCUCCAGACCCUGGUCCUGGAGACUUAACCCGACACUACUCAACGACCCACAAACGGUACAACAAAUCACAACAGAACUCAAACAUUACUUCGCUACAAACAAGGAUACAGUACAAUCCAAUGCAAUCAUAUGGGCUGCUCACAAAACGGUGAUCAGGGGUACCCUUAUUAGCUUAGCCACAGCACACAAAAAAAGACGCCUCGCUCACAUAGAGAAAAUACUAGCGGCCAUCAGGGACCUUGAAUCCCUACAUAAAGUCACCCCCACCCCGGACCUCACUACACAACUCCAACACCAACGACAGGCCCUCCACAAUGCAAUGGCAGUGGACGCCACCAGGGCUCUACAAUGGACACAACAAAAGUUCAACGAAAAAUCCAAUAAAGCCGAUACACUCCUGGCCCGCAGGCUGCGCAAGCGCAUCCAGGCCAAGCAGAUAACACGCAUACGCACACCAUCGAGCCAUGACACAGAGGUACCUACCAAAAUUGCGGAGGUAUUCCAACACUAUUUUGCAGACCUAUAUGACCACUCCCCCCACCAUAGGCAACGGACCGCCACCCUACAAGACCGUAUCCAAACCUUUUUAGACCGAACCCACUUGCCCACACUAUCAGAUAGCGCGAUCACCCAACUCUCCAUGGAGAUCACAGAACAAGAAGUUGCGACGGC
Pelobates cultripes (western spadefoot toad) is the source of this 717-nucleotide non-coding RNA. The record is from the annotation of a GenBank genome assembly. NCBI's taxonomy places the organism in Eukaryota, Metazoa, Chordata, Amphibia, Anura, Pelobatidae.